Molecule: signal recognition particle RNA, 295 nt
Filed under: Callithrix jacchus (white-tufted-ear marmoset)
Lineage: Eukaryota; Metazoa; Chordata; Mammalia; Primates; Cebidae
Description: Metazoan signal recognition particle RNA (ENSCJAG00000057659.2)
Rfam family: Metazoan signal recognition particle RNA
About the family: The signal recognition particle (SRP) is a universally conserved ribonucleoprotein. It is involved in the co-translational targeting of proteins to membranes.
Source: RNAcentral
GCUGGGCAUAGUGGCGCGUGCCCUGUAAUCCCAGCUACUCAGGAGGCUGAGGCAGGAGAAUUGCCUGAACCCAGGAGGCGGAGGUUGCGGUGAGCCGAGAUUGCGCCAUUGCACUCCAGCCUGGGUAAACAACAGCGAAACUCCGUCUCAAAAAAACAAAAAACAUUUUACUCUUACGGAUCUUAAAUUUUUUUGAGACAGAGUCUUGCAUUGUAGCCCAGGCUGUAGUGCAGUGGCGCGAUCUCGGCUCACUGCAGUCUUCGCCUCCUGGGUUCAAGCAAUUCUCCUGCCUUAG